Molecule: ribosomal RNA, 253 nt
Filed under: uncultured bacterium
Lineage: Bacteria
Description: partial 16S ribosomal RNA
Rfam family: Bacterial small subunit ribosomal RNA
Source: RNAcentral
UACGAGGGGGGCGAGCGUUGUUCGGAUUUACUGGGCGUAAAGCGCACGUAGGCGGAUUGUUAAGUCAGGGGUGAAAUCCUGGAGCUCAACUCCAGAACUGCCUUCGAUACUGGCGAUCUCGAGUCCGGGAGAGGUGAGUGGAACUGCGAGUGUAGAGGUGAAAUUCGUAGAUAUUCGCAAGAACACCAGUGGCGAAGGCGGCUCACUGGCCCGGUACUGACGCUGAGGUGCGAAAGCGUGGGGAGCAAACAGG